AUGAGUUGUCUAAGUUGGAAUUGCCGGGGGCUUGGGAACCCCGAGGCAGUUCGAGAGCUUCACAAGGUAGUGAAGCAAGAAGGGCCUGCCUUAGUUUUUGUUAUGGAGAUAAAGAUUAGGGUGAAGAGGGUGGAAGAUCUACGUCAUACUCUUGGUUUGGCAGGUUGUUUUGCAGUGGAUAGUGUUGGUCUCAGUGAUGGAGUUGGACUUUUUUGGUCCAAUGAAGUCGUUGUUGAGUUAAAAAACUUCAGUUCGGGACAUAUCAAUGUGAUGGUCCGGAAAGCUGAUCAAAGCUCUCCUGAAUGGAGAUUUACUGGGUUCUAUGGAGCCCCGCGGAGUGAGGACAGACAUCAUAGCUGGUGGUGUCUCCGCACACUACAUGCCAUCCAACAUCAGCCAUGGUUGUGUGUGGGGGAUUUCAAUGAAACUUGGUAG
This 435-nucleotide ribosomal RNA is filed under the name Triticum aestivum (bread wheat). RNAcentral describes it as "partial small subunit ribosomal RNA". The record is from RNAcentral. Lineage: Eukaryota; Viridiplantae; Streptophyta; Magnoliopsida; Poales; Poaceae.